AGUGAACGCUGGCGGUAGGCCUAACACAUGCAAGUCGAACGGCAGCACAGGAGAGCUUGCUCUCUGGGUGGCGAGUGGCGGACGGGUGAGGAAUACAUCGGAAUCUACUCUGUCGUGGGGGAUAGCGUAGGGAAACUUACGCUAAUACCGCAUACGACCUACGGGUGAAAGCAGGGGAUCUUCGGACCUUGCGCGAUUGAAUGAGCCGAUGUCGGAUUAGCUAGUUGGCGGGGUAAAGGCCCACCAAGGCGACGAUCCGUAGCUGGUCUGAGAGGAUGAUCAGCCACACUGGAACUGAGACACGGUCCAGACUCCUACGGGAGGCAGCAGUGGGGAAUAUUGGACAAUGGGCGCAAGCCUGAUCCAGCCAUACCGCAUGGGUGAGGAAGGCCUUCGGGUUGUAAAGCCCUUUUGUUGGGAAAGAAAUCCAGCUGGCUAAUACCCGGUUGGGAUGACGGUACCCAAAGAAUAAGCACCGGCUAACUUCGUGCCAGCCGCCGCAGUAA
This 506-nucleotide ribosomal RNA is filed under the name uncultured bacterium. RNAcentral describes it as "partial 16S ribosomal RNA". It matches the Rfam family "Bacterial small subunit ribosomal RNA", at positions 29 to 523 of the family's 1533-position model. The record is from RNAcentral.